AAAGUGUAUAGAGUGGCGCACGGGUGAGUAACACGUAGGUUAUCUACCUCCGAGUGGGGAAUAACAACCGGAAACGGUUGCUAAUACCGCAUAAUACCGAAAGGUCAAAGCUUUAGUGCUUGGAGAGGAGCCUGCGGCAGAUUAGCUAUUGGUAAGGUAAUGGCUUACCAAGGCGACGAUCUGUAUACGGUCUAAGAGGACGGUCGGACACACUGACACUGAAUAACGGGUCAG
Molecule: ribosomal RNA, 234 nt
Filed under: uncultured bacterium
Lineage: Bacteria
Description: partial 16S ribosomal RNA
Rfam family: Bacterial small subunit ribosomal RNA
Source: RNAcentral